This 253-nucleotide ribosomal RNA is filed under the name uncultured bacterium. RNAcentral describes it as "partial 16S ribosomal RNA". It matches the Rfam family "Bacterial small subunit ribosomal RNA", at positions 524 to 776 of the family's 1533-position model. The record is from RNAcentral.
UACGUAGGCAGCGAGCGUUGUUCGGAAUUACUGGGCGUAAAGAGUGUGUAGGCGGUGCUCUAAGUCUGUCGUGAAAUCUCCCGGCUUAACUGGGAGGCUGCGGCGGAAACUGGUGUGCUAGAGGGUGGGAGAGGUAAGCGGAAUUCCUGGUGUAGCGGUGAAAUGCGUAGAUAUCAGGAGGAACACCUGCGGUGUAGACAGCUUACUGGACCGCUUCUGACGCUGAGACACGAAAGCGUGGGUAGCAAACAGG